This 482-nucleotide ribosomal RNA is filed under the name uncultured bacterium. Its description in RNAcentral is "bacterial SSU rRNA". It matches the Rfam family "Bacterial small subunit ribosomal RNA", at positions 501 to 982 of the family's 1533-position model. The record is from RNAcentral.
CUACGUGCCAGCAGCCGCGGUAAUACGUAGGUCCCGAGCGUUGUCCGGAUUUAUUGGGCGUAAAGCGAGCGCAGGCGGUUUGAUAAGUCUGAAGUUAAAGGCUGUGGCUCAACCAUAGUUCGCUUUGGAAACUGUCAAACUUGAGUGCAGAAGGGGAGAGUGGAAUUCCAUGUGUAGCGGUGAAAUGCGUAGAUAUAUGGAGGAACACCGGUGGCGAAAGCGGCUCUCUGGUCUGUAACUGACGCUGAGGCUCGAAAGCGUGGGGAGCGAACAGGAUUAGAUACCCUGGUAGUCCACGCCGUAAACGAUGAGUGCUAGGUGUUGGAUCCUUUCCGGGAUUCAGUGCCGCAGCUAACGCAUUAAGCACUCCGCCUGGGGAGUACGACCGCAAGGUUGAAACUCAAAGGAAUUGACGGGGGCCCGCACAAGCGGUGGAGUAUGUGGUUUAAUUCGAAGAUACGCGAAGAACCUUACCAAGGCUU